This 468-nucleotide ribosomal RNA is filed under the name uncultured bacterium. Its description in RNAcentral is "partial 16S ribosomal RNA". It matches the Rfam family "Bacterial small subunit ribosomal RNA", at positions 28 to 507 of the family's 1533-position model. The record is from RNAcentral.
GACGAACGCUGGCGGCGUGCUUAACACAUGCAAGUCGAACGGAAAGGCCCUGCUUUUGUGGGGUGCUCGAGUGGCGAACGGGUGAGUAACACGUGAGUAACCUGCCCUUGACUUUGGUAUAACUUCAGGAAACUGGGGCUAAUACCGGAUAGGAGCUCCUGCUGCAUGGUGGGGGUUGGAAAGUUUCGGCGGUUGGGGAUGGACUCGCGGCUUAUCAGCUUGUUGGUGGGGUAGUGGCUUACCAAGGCUUUGACGGGUAGCCGGCCUGAGAGGGUGACCGGCGACAUUGGGACUGAGAUACGGCCCAGACUCCUACGGGAGGCAGCAGUGGGGAAUAUUGCACAAUGGGCGGAAGCCUGAUGCAGCAACGCCGCGUGCGGGAUGACGGCCUUCGGGUUGUAAACCGCUUUCGCCUGUGACGAAGCGUGAGUGACGGUAAUGGGUAAAGAAGCACCGGCUAACUACGUG